AGAGUUUGAUCAUGGCUCAGGACGAACGCUGGCGGCGUGCCUAACACAUGCAAGUCGAACGGAACUUUAUUGAAAGAUUCUUUCGGGAUGAUUUUGGUUAAGUUUAGUGGCGGACGGGUGAGUAACGCGUGAGUAACCUGCCUUUGAGAGGGGAAUAACAAUCUGAAAAGAUUGCUAAUACCGCAUAACAUAUACGAAUCGCAUGGUUUGUAUAUCAAAGAUUUUAUCGCUCAAAGAUGGACUCGCGUCCGAUUAGUUAGUUGGUGAGGUAACGGCUCACCAAGACCGCGAUCGGUAGCCGGACUGAGAGGUUGAACGGCCACAUUGGGACUGAGACACGGCCCAGACUCCUACGGGAGGCAGCAGUGGGGGAUAUUGCGCAAUGGGGGCAACCCUGACGCAGCAACGCCGCGUGAAGGAUGAAGGUUUUCGGAUUGUAAACUUCUUUUAUUAAGGACGAAAUUUGACGGUACUUAAUGAAUAAGCUCCGGCUAACUACGUGCCAGCAGCCGCGGUAAUACGUAGGGAGCAAGCGUUGUCCGGAUUUACUGGGUGUAAAGGGUGCGUAGGCGGCUUUGCAAGUCAGAUGUGAAAUCUAUGGGCUCAACCCAUAAACUGCAUUUGAAACUGUAGAGCUUGAGUGAAGUAGAGGCAGGCGGAAUUCCCCGUGUAGCGGUGAAAUGCGUAGAGAUGGGGAGGAACACCAGUGGCGAAGGCGGCCUGCUGGGCUUUAACUGACGCUGAGGCACGAAAGCGUGGGUAGCAAACAGGAUUAGAUACCCUGGUAGUCCACGCUGUAAACGAUGAUUACUAGGUGUGGGGGGUCUGACCCCUUCCGUGUCGGAGUU
Molecule: ribosomal RNA, 848 nt
Filed under: uncultured bacterium
Lineage: Bacteria
Description: bacterial SSU rRNA
Rfam family: Bacterial small subunit ribosomal RNA
Source: RNAcentral